Molecule: ribosomal RNA, 453 nt
Filed under: uncultured bacterium
Lineage: Bacteria
Description: bacterial SSU rRNA
Rfam family: Bacterial small subunit ribosomal RNA
Source: RNAcentral
AGAGUUUGAUCAUGGCUCAGAACGAACGCUGGCGGCAUGCCUAACACAUGCAAGUCGAACGAGACCUUCGGGUCUAGUGGCGCACGGGUGCGUAACGCGUGGGAACCUGCCUUUAGGUUCGGAAUAACUCAGAGAAAUUUGAGCUAAUACCGGAUAAUGUCUUCGGACCAAAGAUUUAUCGCCUUUAGAUGGGCCCGCGUUGGAUUAGCUAGUUGGUGGGGUAAAGGCCUACCAAGGCGACGAUCCAUAGCUGGUCUGAGAGGAUGAUCAGCCACACUGGGACUGAGACACGGCCCAGACUCCUACGGGAGGCAGCAGUGGGGAAUAUUGGACAAUGGGCGAAAGCCUGAUCCAGCAAUGCCGCGUGAGUGAUGAAGGCCUUAGGGUUGUAAAGCUCUUUUACCCGAGAUGAUAAUGACAGUAUCGAGAGAAUAAGCUCCGGCUAACUCCGUG